RNAcentral lists this ribosomal RNA (154 nucleotides) under Cortinarius seidliae. Its description in RNAcentral is "5.8S ribosomal RNA". It matches the Rfam family "5.8S ribosomal RNA". From Rfam's summary of the family: 5.8S ribosomal RNA (5.8S rRNA) is a component of the large subunit of the eukaryotic ribosome. It is transcribed by RNA polymerase I as part of the 45S precursor that also contains 18S and 28S rRNA. The record is from RNAcentral. Lineage: Eukaryota; Fungi; Basidiomycota; Agaricomycetes; Agaricales; Cortinariaceae.
ACAACUUUCAGCAACGGAUCUCUUGGCUCUCGCAUCGAUGAAGAACGCAGCGAAAUGCGAUAAGUAAUGUGAAUUGCAGAAUUCAGUGAAUCAUCGAAUCUUUGAACGCACCUUGCACUCCUUGGUAUUCCGAGGAGUAUGCCUGUUUGAGUGU